CGGCGAGUGAAGCGGCAAAGCUCAAAUUUGAAAUCUGGUACCUUCGGUGCCCGAGUUGUAAUUUGGAGAGGGCAACUUUGGGGCCGUUCCUUGUCUAUGUUCCUUGGAACAGGACGUCAUAGAGGGUGAGAAUCCCGUGUGGCGAGGAGUGCGGUUCUUUGUAAAGUGCCUUCGAAGAGUCGAGUUGUUUGGGAAUGCAGCUCUAAGUGGGUGGUAAAUUCCAUCUAAAGCUAAAUAUUGGCGAGAGACCGAUAGCGAACAAGUACAGUGAUGGAAAGAUGAAAAGAACUUUGAAAAGAGAGUGAAAAAGUACGUGAAAUUGUUGAAAGGGAAGGGCAUUUGAUCAGACAUGGUGUUUUGUGCCCUCUGCUCCUUGUGGGUAGGGGAAUCUCGCAUUUCACUGGGCCAGCAUCAGUUUUGGUGGCAGGAUAAAUCCAUAGGAAUGUAGCUUGCCUCGGUAAGUAUUAUAGCCUGUGGGAAUACUGCCAGCUGGGACUGAGGACUGCGACGUAAGUCAAGGAUGCUGGCAUAAUGGUUAUAUGCCGCCCGUCUUGAAUCACGGACCAAAAUU
Molecule: ribosomal RNA, 571 nt
Filed under: Saccharomyces cerevisiae (brewer's yeast)
Lineage: Eukaryota; Fungi; Ascomycota; Saccharomycetes; Saccharomycetales; Saccharomycetaceae
Description: eukaryotic LSU rRNA
Rfam family: Eukaryotic large subunit ribosomal RNA
Source: RNAcentral